UACGGAAGGCAGCAGGGGGGAAUAUUGCACAAUGGGCGCAAGCCUGAUGCAGCCAUGCCGCGUGUAUGAAGAAGGCCUUCGGGUUGUAAAGUACUUUCAGUCGUGAGGAAGGUGUUAAGGUUAAUAACCUUAGCAAUUGACGUUAGCGACAGAAGAAGCACCGGCUAACUCCGUGCCAGCAGCCGCGGUAAUACGGAGGGUGCGAGCGUUAAUCGGAAUUACUGGGCGUAAAGGGCACGCAGGCGGUUAAUUAAGUUGGAUGUGAAAUCCCCGGGCUUAACCUGGGAAUGGCAUUCAAGACUGGUUAGCUAGAGUCUUGUAGAGGGGGUAAAAUUCCAUGUGUAGCGGUGAAAUGCGUAGAGAUGUGGAGGAAUACCGGUGGCGAAGGCGGCCCCUGGACAAAGACUGACGCUCAUGUGCGAAAGCGUGGGGAGCAAACAGGGAUUAGAUACC
RNAcentral lists this ribosomal RNA (453 nucleotides) under uncultured bacterium. RNAcentral's name for it is "bacterial SSU rRNA". It matches the Rfam family "Bacterial small subunit ribosomal RNA", at positions 340 to 786 of the family's 1533-position model. The record is from RNAcentral.